RNAcentral lists this ribosomal RNA (443 nucleotides) under Escherichia coli. RNAcentral describes it as "partial 23S ribosomal RNA". It matches the Rfam family "Bacterial large subunit ribosomal RNA", at positions 475 to 920 of the family's 2925-position model. The record is from RNAcentral. Lineage: Bacteria; Pseudomonadati; Pseudomonadota; Gammaproteobacteria; Enterobacterales; Enterobacteriaceae.
CCUGACUGACCGAUAGUGAACCAGUACCGUGAGGGAAAGGCGAAAAGAACCCCGGCGAGGGGAGUGAAAAAGAACCUGAAACCGUGUACGUACAAGCAGUGGGAGCACGCUUAGGCGUGUGACUGCGUACCUUUUGUAUAAUGGGUCAGCGACUUAUAUUCUGUAGCAAGGUUAACCGAAUAGGGGAGCCGAAGGGAAACCGAGUCUUAACUGGGCGUUAAGUUGCAGGGUAUAGACCCGAAACCCGGUGAUCUAGCCAUGGGCAGGUUGAAGGUUGGGUAACACUAACUGGAGGACCGAACCGACUAAUGUUGAAAAAUUAGCGGAUGACUUGUGGCUGGGGGUGAAAGGCCAAUCAAACCGGGAGAUAGCUGGUUCUCCCCGAAAGCUAUUUAGGUAGCGCCUCGUGAAUUCAUCUCCGGGGGUAGAGCACUGUUUCGGCA